GGUAGUGGCUUAGUGGUAGAGCGCUCAUCUAGCACGUGUGAGGUCCUGAGUUUGAUCCUCAGCACCA
This 67-nucleotide transfer RNA is filed under the name Ictidomys tridecemlineatus (thirteen-lined ground squirrel). Its description in RNAcentral is "Spermophilus tridecemlineatus (thirteen-lined ground squirrel) tRNA". It matches the Rfam family "tRNA". From Rfam's summary of the family: Transfer RNA (tRNA) molecules are approximately 80 nucleotides in length. Their secondary structure includes four short double-helical elements and three loops (D, anti-codon, and T loops). The record is from Rfam by way of RNAcentral. Lineage: Eukaryota; Metazoa; Chordata; Mammalia; Rodentia; Sciuridae.